This 258-nucleotide long non-coding RNA is filed under the name Lathyrus oleraceus (garden pea). RNAcentral describes it as "Pisum sativum (pea) long non-coding RNA (PSAT_LNC036730)". Lineage: Eukaryota; Viridiplantae; Streptophyta; Magnoliopsida; Fabales; Fabaceae. The record is from RNAcentral.
CGAAUGCUUUUUCACUCUCUGCUGAUAUGACUGACCAUGACACAUGGCAGUUGAUCUCUUCUUUUCGAUCGAAUUCAGCAUCAGUCAACUUGGGACUUUGAGGGUGCUAUUUUUCCUUUGUUUUUUCUUUUGAUUUUGCUUUUGAUUUCUUUUGAUUUCUUUUGAUUUCUUUUGCACCCUUUCUUUCUUUGUUUUUUUUUUUUGAUUGAUUUUUUUUGAUGCCCCAGUUGGCUGUUCUGCUGAUUCUCGAGAUGCAGC